GUGAGGAAUUUUCCGCAAUGGGCGAAAGCCUGACGGAGCAAUGCCGCGUGAAGGAUGAAGGCCUAUGGGUUGUAAACUUCUUUUCUCAGAAAAGAAUUAUGACGGUAUCUGAGGAAUAAGCAUCGGCUAACUCCGUGCCAGCAGCCGCGGUAAUACGGAGGGGGCGAGCGUUGUUCGGAAUCACUGGGCGUAAAGCGUGCGUAGGCGGUUAUACAAGUCAGGAGUGAAAUCCCAGGGCUCAACCUUGGAAUUGCUUUUGAGACUGUAUGACUAGAGACCUAGAGAGGUUGGGGGAAUUCCCAGUGUAGCAGUGAAAUGCGCAGAUAUUGGGAGGAACACCAGUGGCGUAGGCGCCCAACUGGCUAGGUACUGACGCUGAGGCACGAAAGCGUGGGGAGCAAACAGGAUUAGAUACCCCUGUAGUCC
RNAcentral lists this ribosomal RNA (426 nucleotides) under uncultured bacterium. RNAcentral describes it as "partial 16S ribosomal RNA". It matches the Rfam family "Bacterial small subunit ribosomal RNA", at positions 354 to 796 of the family's 1533-position model. The record is from RNAcentral.